CCCUCUGGCCCUCUCCUCCUCCGUCACGCCGCCGCGCCCCUGCUCUCCUCCGCCCCCGCCUACCCUCUGCCCCCCAUAUCCGGCUCUCCUCCGCCCCUCGCCUCCCCUCUGCCCCCCAUAUCCAGCUCUCUCCGCGCGAGCUCGCCAACGGGCGCCAUGGCCCCUGCAGGUUGCUUCCCAAGCUCUCCUCCGCAGCACCGUCGACCUCCCCCCUUCCUCGUGCCACCCUACUCCCAGCCUCAAAUCUGCGGCGGCAGGGUGCGCGCUUGGCGGCUGCGGCACCGUGCGGGCAGGGCAGCGGCAGGGUGCCACCGUAAGAAUGAUGGUAGAGAGUGAAUUGACAAGCCUGAAGAGAUACAGACACUUUGUGAGGCAUUACUUUAUUGCAAUCAUUUGUUCUUUUUAGGGCCCCUACACGUGUACUGCAAUUUAGGGUUAGUUUUAAUUUUGCUGUCAAAUCUCAAAUGUAGAUUGAUCUUGUCAGACCUGGAGAUAUUUAAAAGCUAAAAGUAGUUGCAAUACUUGUAUAUAUUUUCUGAAUAAUUAUGUUGGACAAACACUGUUUUUGUUUGAUACAUCAACUGCAAAGGUGGAUGUCAAAUCUUUUCUAGCAAUAGCUCAAGUUUAGCUUCCAUCUAUAAAUGUAAGUUGCGACUAAGUCAUUGAAUGCUAAAAGUAUGAACACACUUUACCUCUUUGUAUCAUUUGCAAGUUGAUUGUUGUACAGUGCAGAACGGGAUAAUUCACCGUGUAUUUUUUCAGAAAUAUAUGCCUCAAGUCAGCAUGUGUAUUGUGUAAUGUGUUGUGUACGAAAUUAACUCUCCUUUUUGGACAUAAGGAAUUUAGCUCGGGAACAAUGCUAUGAUCCAUCUUUGUAUGCUAGAAUAAUACAUAGUAGAAUGUACAAAAAUGUGUGUUCUGUUUGGAUAACUACAUGUGUAAUACUUUGGAUAACCAUAAAUCAAUAUCUUUAUUUUUCUAUGUCUAGCUCAUGUGGUUUCACUGAAUCAUAAUGGUUCAGAAUUAGUAACACAUGUAAAUAGCUACCACAUAUUUCAGGUUAGUGUGUUAGUUUGAUUGAUUAAUUUUGUGAAAUUGUGUUGAAGUUAACUCUUCAUAUAUAGACUUGUAGGAUUGUCAGUGCUUAUGGUAGAUUGCAUAUUUAUGAAUUAUGACUAUGCUCACUUGAGAAAACUAAUUUUUUUUCAUUUACCAUCUACUCCACUUGUGUAGAAAACAUACUACAGAUGAUGUGGUUUGGGGUAUCAUGGGGGUGGCUGAACUAAUGUCUCCCAGUCCUGGAAAUUUGUUUAGAUAGGGUUGUGAUGUAUGGAGGACCAUAUGCAUGUAAAUUGAACUGAUUCAGUUUGUUGGUUACAUAAUCUGGAAGCUGAAUGUUUGAUUUUCUAGCACAAGUCUGAACUGAAUGGUAGUAGCUCUGACUACACAUUGGCUUUUCUGAGAAAUAUUUGACGUAACUGGACUGAUUUAUUAAUCUUUCUCAUCAUCGAUGCACAUGCUGGAUGGCUUCACUAGACAUAGAAACACCUGUGUUUGUUUGAGGUGCAUCAAUAUUACAUCAUGCUUUAAAUAUCUUUACAGCAGUCGGAUGCCAAAGACAUAACCUUGCAUAUUCAGAUGCAAUAUAUUUGGGCAAGUUUAUGGAUUUUGUGGCUCGAGAACAGCACAGUAGUCGGAAUUUGAUUUAUUUUGUGGCCAAAGACAUAACCUUGCAUAUUCAGAUGCGAUCGGCGGGCGCCCACAACUGGAAUCAAAGUACUGCCCUAAAAAUAUCUUUACAGUAACCUUGGCCUGAACUACAAAGACAUCUAAGCAGAAGGUUAAAAGGGACUUUGAAGCUUAUGGGCAAAGGGCAACACCCCAACGGCACGUAGACGUCAGCAGAUUCAUGAAUCAUAUGCCUAGGAGGUACAUGUGUUGUUGUCCCUGUUGGUGUUGAUGGACCACGGUGGUGUUCCCCACUGAGCUCCGCCAUCCGACGCAUGCCCCUCCCCAAUCUAUUCGGAUAAACUCACCAUCGACAUCUCCUUUUUCCUUUUUUUUGUUGAUAUUUUCCCUGUUGAUGCUUUUUGUUUACAUAUUUAGGAAUAUACGAAUAUAGAAUUGCUUAGUGUUUAUGAAAAAAAUUGUGCUAUUGUGUCUGUUUUAUAUUAUUGUGGAGUGACUGUUAUCAAAGGAGUUGGGAUUAUUGUGUGGUUAUCUGGAAGAGCUAAUGUUGUACUAUACAACUUUAUUAAUACAUGUGUAAAUCGGUUGCCUUAA
This is a long non-coding RNA of Brachypodium distachyon (stiff brome), 2283 nucleotides long. RefSeq lists it as uncharacterized. The record is from RefSeq and is a predicted model, not a curated record. The transcript has 5 exons. NCBI's taxonomy places the organism in Eukaryota, Viridiplantae, Streptophyta, Magnoliopsida, Poales, Poaceae.